Long non-coding RNA from Castor canadensis (American beaver), 1745 nucleotides. RefSeq lists it as uncharacterized. Lineage: Eukaryota; Metazoa; Chordata; Mammalia; Rodentia; Castoridae. The record is from RefSeq and is a predicted model, not a curated record.
UGCAGUGACCGAGGCCGUUAGAAAGGCAUUAGGGCUGACCAUGGAUCAGUGAGACACGGAGACACACAAUGGAGGUGCUGAACGCCACGUUGGUCUUGGCACUGUGAAGAACUAAAGGAUCUUGACAAGGGACACACGGAACAUUGAGUCCUGUGACAAGCGAAGGCCAGAAGGCUGAAGGGAGGGAACAGCCUGCAGCUCUCAGUGCUAAAGAUGGAAUCCAGGGUCUUGCCAUGCUGAACAAGCGCUCGACCCCUGAGCUACAUCCCCUCCCUGCAAAAGCUCUCUCCUUAAGAAGACAAGCUGGCUCCAUGGAGAACAUUCUGGACUCUGAGUGCUGAUUAAGUUGUGCUCACUUGGGCCUUUGUACCUUUGCUCCAGCUCCUCUCUGAGGUUGGAAUGUGCUCUCCCCUCCUCCCCUUAUCUCAAGACUCAGCUCAAAGGACACCUUCCCUCUCAGUGAGGCCUUCCUGCACAGUCCCUCUGCCCAGCCUAGCAGAACCACUUCCUCCCUCCACUGAGGGCCAUGGCUCUGGGGUAGCAUGGCUCUAUCUAUCUAUCUAUCUAUCUAUCUAUCUAUCUAUCUAUCUAUCUUUCUUUCUUUUGAGACAGUCUCGCUAUGUAGCCCAGACUGGCCUCAAACUCUCCAUCUUCCAGCCUCAGUCCCCUAAGGCAUGUGCCAUCAAGCUUGGCUUACAGUGGCUUGCUUCUAAGUUGUUCUCAACUUUUCAAAUCUUAGUUUUGUGAUUCCUGUGUCCAACACAGUUCCAGACUUACCUGCCCAUGUGGGUGCUCAGUGAGGGUAUGUGGGAGAAAUGAACGAUGAGAUAUCUCAUCCCUGAGGGUUCCUGCAUGGCCUCCACCAAAUCCCAUCCACCUAGUCUCUUGACCCUCAGCCCUGGGGUGGCGCCUGCUUGAGAAAAUCAUCCCCCACCCCAACCCCAUUAAGUUUCAGGGAAUUAUUGCAUUUUCAGCUACUGUCUCCACUCACCUUAUGUCACCUGAUGGCCAUCUGAGGUGACACAAGAUGCAUGGCUCAGGGUAGCCAAAAGCUAUUUUAGUGUGAAAGCACAGAACUGAGUUAGUUACAGGAGAGUGUUCAAACUGCUCCUGAAGAAAUAUCUGAAGCAUAGUUCAUCAACACUGACAACCUGGUGACUCCUGUCCUCUUUAGCUACAGGACACUCAGAGUUGCAAAAUUCUAACUGACCCCUUUAAAUGACACAAAUGUUCUCCCUACUUUGAGCCUCAGCCCCCAGGAUUCAUUGUGAGAUGGGGGGUCAAAGUCAAGGGUACAGGCUGUGGCCUCAGAAUAGGACAUGGAUAUGAAGUCCUCAGGAACAAAGUCAAGGACCUCAGCCCCUUCCAUCUGGUGGAAGUAAUGGCCAUAGCCAGGGCUUCUGGGCUGCGGGAGAGGUCCAGCAGGGCAGUGGGUGACGACAGAAGCUCAGCCUCCAGCCAGACUUGGGUCCUCUAGGUAUUCACCAAGUACUGGCUCUGGGGAUAUGCAAGUAUGUCGAUCCAAGGUGGAGGGAGGAGGAGUCGAUGUGCUAACGUAAAGCCCUCCAUACCUACAAGGCUGUCGUGUGCCAUACUGCACAAAUGACACGGGACAGUUACAUAAACUGGAGUAACAGUGGUCCAGUACUGCGGGAGGCGUGGCUCCAGGGGUAGAGCGCAUGCCUAGAAAGCUGGACGCCUUUAGUUCAAACCCCAGUACUGUAAGAAAAGAAAAAAAAAAAAAA